This 329-nucleotide long non-coding RNA is filed under the name Mytilus galloprovincialis (Mediterranean mussel). The record is from RNAcentral. Lineage: Eukaryota; Metazoa; Mollusca; Bivalvia; Mytilida; Mytilidae.
UGUACGGCAAUCGAACCACAACUCGGUAUAUUAUAUGAAUAGUAAGGAAUUAAAUAAUUGUCCCUUGCAUCUGAAAUUAAAACCUUUAUUUGGGUUGGUAGGGAUAACAUAUUUAAAAUCACAACUUAUUAAGCAAGGACGGGCAUAAUUACAUUUCAUUAUAAAAUGUAACAAUUCAGAUAAUUGCGUUUAUCAGAUUGUAAUGCAACUGUGUACAAGACAACGUCCGUGUAAUGCCUUAUCAAAUUUGGAAUAUCAUUUUUCUCAUCUAUUGAAAUAGGCAGGACAAAUAAACAACGUUUUGAGUAAUUAAAGUAUUUACAUAUUUC